UACGGAGGAUGCGAGCGUUAUCCGGAUUUAUUGGGUUUAAAGGGUGCGUAGGCGGACUCUUAAGUCAGCGGUGAAAGUUUGCGGCUCAACUGUAAAAUUGCCGUUGAAACUGGGAGCCUUGAGUGUAGAUGAAGUAGGCGGAAUUCGUGGUGUAGCGGUGAAAUGCAUAGAUAUCACGAGGAACUCCAAUUGCGAAGGCAGCUUACUAAACUACAACUGACGCUGAAGCACGAAAGCGUGGGUAUCAAACAGG
Molecule: ribosomal RNA, 253 nt
Filed under: uncultured Porphyromonadaceae bacterium
Lineage: Bacteria; Pseudomonadati; Bacteroidota; Bacteroidia; Bacteroidales; Porphyromonadaceae
Description: partial 16S ribosomal RNA
Rfam family: Bacterial small subunit ribosomal RNA
Source: RNAcentral